GUUAACGACGGGCGAGGAGGCGCGGGAAAACGGAGGAGGCGGGCGUUAGCCGGAGUGACUGGGGGUAAAGAGCAGGCAGGCGGGGUGGUAAGUUGGACGUGAAAGCUGCCGGCUUAACUGGGAGAGGUCGUUCGAUACUGCGGGGCUUGAGGUUGGGAGAGGGGUGCGGAAUUCCCGGUGUAGUGGUGGAAUGCGUAGAUAUCGGGAGGAACACCAGUGGCGCAAGCGGCGCCCUGGCCCACACCUGACGCUGAGGUGCGAAAGCGUGGGGAGCAAACAGGAUUAGAUACCCCUGUAGUC
RNAcentral lists this ribosomal RNA (300 nucleotides) under uncultured Lactobacillus sp. Its description in RNAcentral is "bacterial SSU rRNA". It matches the Rfam family "Bacterial small subunit ribosomal RNA", at positions 496 to 795 of the family's 1533-position model. The record is from RNAcentral. Lineage: Bacteria; Bacillati; Bacillota; Bacilli; Lactobacillales; Lactobacillaceae.